CGUAGAUAUAGCGGAACAGAUGUUGAAUUUCUCUUUUUUUUUAGCGUUAUCUCUCCUCUUCCAAACGCCUCCCCAACCCCUCACACACUCUCGUUCAAAUUACACAAAAAUGCUUAAUCAUUUGUUAAACAGUUACAAACAAUGAAUCAUUUAUUAUUUUUGCCAUUAGUUUAAAAAGUUGACUAACGGUAAAGUUAAAAGUUUAGAUGCCGAUUUAGGAAAAUUUACAUGAAUAUCAAUAGAAACCUAAAUAUAUAGUGUAUUGUGUAUAUUAUAGCUUUCUGUCGGAUAGAUACACGUUCUUUUCACUUGAUAUAUAUUAAAUAUUGGAUAACGGAAAGGUGGAGAGAGAGAAGAGAGAAAGAUAUAAUCGUUUGAAUAGUGAUUUUUCUUUAUUGUGAUAAAAGGAUAGAUGGAUUGGAUACUCUCGUUUUUUAAAAAAAUCGAUUCGAUUGAAGUUGAUCAAGAAUCAAUAGCUAAGGAGAAAGUGACUGAAUUAAAGUCUAAUAAUGAAUCUAAACAACUCGAUAUUCGACUAAUGACAAAAGACGAUUGUAGAAGAAUAACAGAAAUCCUUUUUCAUGGCUUUUACCAGUUUAUUCAAUAUUUAAUUGGCAAAGAUGAAGAUGUGGCGAUCUUAAAUAUAGUCAGGUUAUUGAUAGAAUAUAAUUUCCGGCGUUACCAAGAUACCUAUGUGGCAGAAGUUAACUCUGAAGUUGAGGGAGUUUGUAGACUGACUUUUAGCGACUCAAUUGAUAGGAAAAUGCCGGGCUUACCUGGAAUGAUUGUUGAUGAUUUCUCACCGAAAUCUAUUCUUAGAACUUUAUGCUCUGGCUCUAUGGCUAAUAAUCUCAUGAAAAUUGAGGAAGGAGAUUGCCUCAUUCAAUUCUUAGCGGUUGGCGAAAAUUGCAGAGGGAAAGGCAUUGGUAAACUCCUUUUGGAGCAUUCCUACUAUCAGGCAGAGAAAAGAGGGUGUAAGAGAAUAUGGCUUCUCGUUUCGCUAUCCAAUCCUCAAUUUAAAAAUUUAUGCGAACAACUCGGUUAUGUAUCAACAAAGGUGAUCAGGGUUCGACCAUUGUUCGCCUUUGGCUCAGAGGGUUACUACAAAAUGGUGAAAAGUAUCUAAAAACUAGGUUAACAUUCUUUUCUAGCCAGCCACUGGCUCGCUUUUCUCUUUUUAUCUUCUUUCCUCUCUCUCUCCCUCUCUCUCUUACCUACUCUCUUUCUCUCUUCCCCAAAGGAAGAAAAAUAUUUUUAUCCAUUGGGAGAUGGAUAAAAGAUAGAUUUAAUUUACAGAAAUAGCUGGAAAAUCUGUGAUAGAUACCAUUUGGUUUUAAUUAUUGAUAAAUAAAUUUUCUUAACAGAAUUUCACCUAAUUCUUUUACUCUUUCGCCAGAUUGAAUCACGUGAUCAGUACAACAUCAGGCAUGAUACUUUUUAAUUAGUUGAUAAUAAAAUAAAAUACUUAUCUAUUAAUUUAUUUGAAUUGUUCGCACAAAAAUAUAACAAAAAAGGCGUAUUGAUUUCUUUUAUACAUCUGUCCCACUUUUAUAAAAAAGGUAACAAUUUUAAGUUUAUUAAGUAAAUGGGAAAUAGGUAAUGUUACUUUAUGCUAUACGGUAGGCUUUAUGGUAAUCACUAUCCUCAUUGAAGAUGAGUACUGUUGAGUACUUUUAAUUCUAGCAAAUCUAUUUAAACCUAUCCUACUUAAUUUCUUUGUUUUUCAUCCUCGAAACAAUUAUCAUUUUAGAUGUUAAAUAAUAAUCAAUUUUCAUUAUACUUUUAACGAUAGGUCGAGAUGACACGAUCGAGCAGGAAGGAGAGAGAAAGAGAAAUAUACCUAAACAUUGAUAGAUAAAUUGUUAUAUACUAUUAUGUAUAUUUAUAGAAGCAUAAACAUAAUAUAGGAUGAUUAAAUAUUUAUUCUUUACUGACCCGUUUGCUAGAAUUUUUAACCUGUAAGUGGACAAAGAGGGAUCUUUGAAGGCUAAAAGUAAUCGCCUCACUAAAUUUGUUAGCAUUGAUUUAGUUGUCGAGUCCCUUAUUAGGUUGUAUAAGGCAGGUCUCCAGAGUGUAAACAUUAAAUAGAUAUAUGAAUAUUCAGAAAGAAUCACGU
RNAcentral lists this unclassified non-coding RNA (2116 nucleotides) under Dimorphilus gyrociliatus. RNAcentral's name for it is "n-acetyltransferase domain-containing protein". The record is from RNAcentral. Lineage: Eukaryota; Metazoa; Annelida; Polychaeta; Dinophilidae.